GUGGGGAAUCUUCCGCAAUGGACGAAAGUCUGACGGAGCAACGCCGCGUGAGUGAUGAAGGUCUUCGGAUUGUAAAGCUCUGUUAAUCGGGACGAAAGAGCCUAGUGUGAAUAAUGCUAGGAAGUGACGGUACCGGAAUAGAAAGCCACGGCUAACUACGUGCCAGCAGCCGCGGUAAUACGUAGGUGGCAAGCGUUGUCCGGAAUUAUUGGGCGUAAAGCGCGCGCAGGCGGAUCUGCCAGUCUGUCUUAAAAGUUCGGGGCUUAACCCCGUGAUGGGAUGGAAACUACAGAUCUAGAGUAUCGGAGAGGAAAGUGGAAUUCCUAGUGUAGCGGUGAAAUGCGUAGUUAUUAGGAAGAACACCAGUGGCGAAGGCGACUUUCUGGACGAAAACUGACGCUGAGGCGCGAAAGCCAGGGGAGCGAACGGGAUUAGAAACCCGAGUAGUCC
This 450-nucleotide ribosomal RNA is filed under the name uncultured bacterium. RNAcentral's name for it is "partial 16S ribosomal RNA". It matches the Rfam family "Bacterial small subunit ribosomal RNA", at positions 354 to 796 of the family's 1533-position model. The record is from RNAcentral.